Long non-coding RNA from Bubalus bubalis (water buffalo), 1014 nucleotides. RefSeq lists it as uncharacterized. The transcript is spliced from 4 exons. Lineage: Eukaryota; Metazoa; Chordata; Mammalia; Artiodactyla; Bovidae. The record is from RefSeq and is a predicted model, not a curated record.
GACUAAGCAAUAUUAGUGGUCGUUUAGUCACUAAGUCGUGUCCGACUCUUGAGACCCCACGGACUGUAGCCUGCCAGGCUCCUCUGUCCAUGGAAUUUUCCAGGCAAGAAUACUGGAGUGGGUUGCCAUUCCCUUCUCCAGGAGAUCUUCCCAUCCCAGGAAUUUAACCCAGGUCUUCUGCAUUGCAGGCAGAUUCUUUACCAACUGAGCUACAAGGGAAGCUGUCAGACAAAAUAUAAUUCAAAGUGAAAAGACACUAUCAGACAAAAAAGAAUUCAAGGAUGAAAAAAGUUUUCUCUAAGAAGUAAGGAAACUUUCCGCAGAAAGACAGCAGACAAUUCUACAUCUCAUUGCAGAUGCCCACUCCUGAACCAAUAAAUUACCCUCAGCCCAAACAGACCACCCCGGGAAUAGAGAGUGGGAUCACCUGCCCCCAGGGACAUUGCUGUGUGGAUGGAGCCUGCCAACUCGGACUCCUGACUACGCAACACAGUCAUUCAGCUCCCAUUAAACAGGUCAUUGCCAAAAUGAGCAAAAAUAGACAUUAUUCUGGGUUGAAAAGGGAGAAGAGUUGGAAAAUUGGGGUUGGUCUUAUGGAACUUCAGCCACUUGGAAAGCUCAGUGCCAACUCAAAAAGUGUCUUUAAGCAAAAUGACGUGAAUAUGGAUGUAAGUCAAGAAGGGCCCAGGAUCACGCAUCUGCCUUUAAAGGUGGCACUGAAGUCUCAUGAAGUGAUACUUUCCAUUGAGGGUCAUGGAGGUUAAAGUCAGCAAACUGAGAGAAGAAGCUGAUGGAGAGUUUGAUUUACAAUUCCGAUUUUUGUUUCUUGGUUCUUUCUUUCCCCCUUCAACCCAGAUGUCUUAACAAAACCAGCUGUGUAAUUUUGCCCAGUGCAAAAUGAAAAUGUGGGCUUCUUCAAAAGUUAUGAAAAAUUUCAAAAUGGUGCCCAUGAAGCUGGCUCUUCGUCUAGCCCUGAUUAAAGUUGGCUAUUUCUAGUAUUCUGUCUCUAGGACU